Molecule: ribosomal RNA, 253 nt
Filed under: uncultured bacterium
Lineage: Bacteria
Description: partial 16S ribosomal RNA
Rfam family: Bacterial small subunit ribosomal RNA
Source: RNAcentral
UACAGAGGGUGCAAGCGUUAAUCGGAAUUACUGGGCGUAAAGGGCGCGUAGGCGGUCCGAUAAGUCCCGUGUGAAAUCCCUCGGCUCAACUGAGGAAUGGCACGGGAAACUGACGGGCUUGAGUUCGGGAGAGGGAAGCGGAAUUCCGGGUGUAGCGGUGAAAUGCGUAGAUAUCGGAAGGAACAUCAGUGGCGAAAGCGACUUCCUGGACCAAUACUGACGCUCAUGUGCGAAAGCGUGGGGAGCAAACAGG